GACGAACGCUGGCGGCGUGCUUAACACAUGCAAGUCGAACGGAAAGGCCCUGCUUUUGUGGGGUGCUCGAGUGGCGAACGGGUGAGUAACACGUGAGUAACCUGCCCUUGACUUUGGGAUAACUUCAGGAAACUGGGGCUAAUACCGGAUAGGAGCUCCUGCUGCAUGGUGGGGGUUGGAAAGUUUCGGCGGUUGGGGAUGGACUCGCGGCUUAUCAGCUUGUUGGUGGGGUAGUGGCUUACCAAGGCUUUGACGGGUAGCCGGCCUGAGAGGGUGACCGGCCACAUUGGGACUGAGAUACGGCCCAGACUCCUACGGGAGGCAGCAGGGGGGAAUAUUGCACAAUGGGCGGAAGCCUGAUGCAGCAACGCCGCGUGCGGGAUGACGGCCUUCGGGUUGUAAACCGCUUUCGCCUGUGGCGAAGCGUGAGUGACGGUAAUGGGUAAAGAAGCACCGGCUAACUACGUG
This 468-nucleotide ribosomal RNA is filed under the name uncultured bacterium. Its description in RNAcentral is "partial 16S ribosomal RNA". It matches the Rfam family "Bacterial small subunit ribosomal RNA", at positions 28 to 507 of the family's 1533-position model. The record is from RNAcentral.